UAAUACGUAGGCAGCAAGCGUUGUUCGGAAUUACUGGGCGUAAAGAGUGCGUAGGCGGUUAACUAAGUUUGGUGUGAAAUCUCCCGGCUUAACUGGGAGGGUGCGCCGAAAACUGGCUAGCUAGAGUGUGGGAGAGGAUAGUGGAAUUCCUGGUGUAGCGGUGAAAUGCGUAGAUAUCAGGAGGAACACCUGCGGUGUAGACGGCUAUCUGGACCAUGACUGACGCUGAGGCACGAAAGCGUGGGUAGCAAACAGGAUUAGAUACCCUGGUAGUCCACGCCCUAAACGAUGCAAACUUGGUGUGCGCCCUUCAUUGGGUGCGUGCCGUAGCUAACGCGUUAAGUUUGCCGCCUGGGGAGUACGGUCGCAAGGCUG
RNAcentral lists this ribosomal RNA (375 nucleotides) under uncultured bacterium. RNAcentral's name for it is "bacterial SSU rRNA". It matches the Rfam family "Bacterial small subunit ribosomal RNA", at positions 521 to 896 of the family's 1533-position model. The record is from RNAcentral.